RNAcentral lists this ribosomal RNA (497 nucleotides) under uncultured bacterium. Its description in RNAcentral is "partial 16S ribosomal RNA". It matches the Rfam family "Bacterial small subunit ribosomal RNA", at positions 28 to 507 of the family's 1533-position model. The record is from RNAcentral.
GAUGAACGCUGGCGGCGUGCCUAAUACAUGCAAGUCGAGCGAACGGACGAGAAGCUUGCUUCUCUGAUGUUAGCGGCGGACGGGUGAGUAACACGUGGAUAACCUACCUAUAAGACUGGGAUAACUUCGGGAAACCGUAGCUAAUACCGGAUAAUAUUUUGAACCGCAUGGUUCAAAAGUGAAAGACGGUCUUGCUGUCACUUAUAGAUGGAUCCGCGCUGCAUUAGCUAGUUGGUAAGGUAACGGCUUACCAAGGCAACGAUGCAUAGCCGACCUGAGAGGGUGAUCGGCCACACUGGAACUGAGACACAGUCCAGACUCCUACGGGAGGCAGCAGUAGGGAAUCUUCCGCAAUGGGCGAAAGCCUGACGGAGCAACGCCGCGUGAGUGAUGAAGGUCUUCGGAUCGUAAAACUCUGUUAUUAGGGAAGAACAUAUGUGUAAGUAGCUGUGCACAUCUUGACGGUACCUAAUCAGAAAGCCACGGCUAACUACGUG